AAACUACUACCUCUGUCCGAAAAUACUUGUCAUCAAAAUGGACAAAAAAGGAUGUAUUUAAAAUUAAAAUAUAUCUAGAUACAUCCCCUUUUAUUCAUUUUGAUGAUAAGUAUUUCCGAACGAAGGGAGUACGAC
This is a non-coding RNA of Triticum aestivum (bread wheat), 135 nucleotides long. NCBI's taxonomy places the organism in Eukaryota, Viridiplantae, Streptophyta, Magnoliopsida, Poales, Poaceae. The record is from Rfam.